GAAUAUUUCCCAAGUCCAGCCUUUCCCAGGAGACAGGCAUGAGAAAGAGCCCCUCACUCCAAGUGGGGCUUCACAAGGUCCUGCAAGAACGUGGUCUCGUGAUGCACUGAGCUUGCCGGAUAAAGAGGCAGAACAAGGACGGUGGCCAUGUCAGCGCUGUAACUGGAAUGAGCAGUUCCUGGCUCCUGUUUGAGUGAUUAAAUGGGAACAGGGCCACGUCGCUCCUCCCUCCCUUGGAAAACAAAAGCUGUGGACACUUGCACAGAAAACAGCUUCUCCCUGACAUGUCCGUCCUUGUCUUGCUGCAGUUUUUCCUCUCUGAAGUCAGAUUCCUUUUGGUAGCAUCUUAAUAAGUUAAUGUAAGUGUGAGGUUCGAAACAGACUAGUUUUACUCAAAAGAGGAAUGGGCACGUGCCCUGCCUUCUUGGCGAUCCCCUUAAUAAGUGGCAUUAAGAAAAAGAGCAACUUGUAGCUGCAGUAGGAUGGGACCACAGGACAGAUCUUUAAAAACAGCUUUUCAGAUCUUCAUGAAAGGGCAGCUGCAAUUUAUCCCAUUCUUUACCAUUUGGAGAUGAUUGGAAUCAAGUGUAGAAACACUUGGAUAUUAGGAUUUCAGAGAAAAGCCUGGAAAAACAUUCAUCACUGUCAUGGCGGGUGUUCAUUUUUAAUAAUCUCAGGUUAAUUUUAAAAUAUACUGCAGACUUCUGAAACAUUCAUGUGAGCAAGUCUGUAAGUAUGUUGGCUGUCUGGGGAAGGAAAAUGCUCCGGCUCACAGGACAGUCAUACUGAGGAGCUCUGUUGGACUGAAAACGCUGUUGACGACUUCUGUGACACAGUCUUCAAUGAGAGUAAAAACAUUAAAUAAAUAGCAUCUGAAGUUGUUCCCGGAGGGACUUGCUGGUGGAGUGUUUCACUUCAGAGACUCAUCGGAGCUCUGCUUGACUGGAAGUGCUUAAUAUCCAAGAAAAUAAAGUUCAAAGGAAUUUUUUUUUCUCCUUUUGAAAAUAUUAAAUUCAGGGAGUGUGACUCCAACGGGAAUGAAGAAGGCAAAUGGAAAAACUUUUGGCGGAGUGAAUUGAGGUUUCACAUGCAGCUCAAUGGCAUUUUUCUGUCCGUAUGUCAUGCGAUAGCUUAUGAACG
Long non-coding RNA from Nothoprocta perdicaria, 1140 nucleotides. RefSeq lists it as uncharacterized. Lineage: Eukaryota; Metazoa; Chordata; Aves; Tinamiformes; Tinamidae. The record is from RefSeq and is a predicted model, not a curated record. The transcript is spliced from 2 exons.